Small nuclear RNA from Maylandia zebra (zebra mbuna), 147 nucleotides. Its record names the gene U2. It matches the Rfam family "U2 spliceosomal RNA". Rfam says of the family: U2 is a small nuclear RNA (snRNA) component of the spliceosome (involved in pre-mRNA splicing). Complementary binding between U2 snRNA (in an area lying towards the 5' end but 3' to hairpin I) and the branchpoint sequence (BPS) of the intron results the bulging out of an unpaired adenosine, on the BPS, which initiates a nucleophilic attack at the intronic 5' splice site, thus starting the first of two transesterification reactions that mediate splicing. The record is from Ensembl. Lineage: Eukaryota; Metazoa; Chordata; Actinopteri; Cichliformes; Cichlidae.
AUCUGUUCUUAUCAGUUUAAUAUCUGAUACGCCCCCGAUUUGGGGGCAACGUAUUAAAUGCAUUUUUAGAACAGGGAGCCGAAUAAGGGGCUCGCUCCGUUCGCUCCACGCAUCGACCCGGUAUUGCAGCGCCUCCGGGAACGGUGC